GAUAAAAUGGCUGAGUUUAGGCGAUAAAUUGUAAAUUUAUUUACGGUAGUUGAACCUUUUAUCA
This 64-nucleotide transfer RNA is filed under the name Lachesilla punctata. Its description in RNAcentral is "tRNA-Tyr". It matches the Rfam family "tRNA". From Rfam's summary of the family: Transfer RNA (tRNA) molecules are approximately 80 nucleotides in length. The record is from RNAcentral. Lineage: Eukaryota; Metazoa; Arthropoda; Insecta; Psocodea; Lachesillidae.